UAUGAUGUUUUGAUUCUUCGUUUUAUUUGAAAUUUUUUUGCGAUUAAUGUUUUUAUUGUUACUGGAUGAUAAAACAUGAAUAGUAUUUUAUGCGGGACUAUUUUUUUAAGUUUUUGUGCAGAAUUUUCAAAUAAAACGAAUGGUCAAACGUUAGACACGGAAAUUUA
This 167-nucleotide microRNA precursor is filed under the name Oryza brachyantha (malo sina). Its description in RNAcentral is "MIR812 microRNA precursor family". It matches the Rfam family "MIR812 microRNA precursor family", at positions 27 to 191 of the family's 205-position model. Lineage: Eukaryota; Viridiplantae; Streptophyta; Magnoliopsida; Poales; Poaceae. The record is from Rfam by way of RNAcentral.